AGAGGGUGCGAGCGUUAAUCGGAAUUACUGGGCGUAAAGGGCGCGUAGGUUGUCUGAUAAGUUGGGUGUAAAAUUCCCGGGCUUAACCUGGGCAGGUCAUCCAAGACUGUCAGACUAGAGAGCAGUAGAGGGAAGUGGAAUUUCCGGUGUAGCGGUGAAAUGCGUAGAUAUCGGAAGGAACACCAGAGGCGAAGGCGACUUUCUGGACUGCCACUGACACUGAGGCGCGAAAGCGUGGGGAGCGAACAGGGAUUAGAUACCCUGGUAGUCCACGCUGUAAACGAUGAAAACUAGCCGUUGUGAUUUAUUAAUGACAGUGGCGCAGCUAACGCAUUAAGUUUUCCGCCUGGGGAGUACGGCCGCAAGGCUA
Molecule: ribosomal RNA, 370 nt
Filed under: uncultured organism
Description: partial 16S ribosomal RNA
Rfam family: Bacterial small subunit ribosomal RNA
Source: RNAcentral